CAACUUUCGACAACGGAUCUNUUGGUUCUCCCAUNGAUGAAGAACGCAGCGAAAUGCGAUAAGUAAUGUGAAUUGCAGAAUUCAGUGAAUCAUCGAAUCUUUGAACGCACCUUGCGCUCCUUGGUAUUCCGAGGAGCAUGCCUGUUUGAGUGUCAU
Molecule: ribosomal RNA, 156 nt
Filed under: Robbauera albescens
Lineage: Eukaryota; Fungi; Basidiomycota; Exobasidiomycetes; Robbauerales; Robbaueraceae
Description: 5.8S ribosomal RNA
Rfam family: 5.8S ribosomal RNA
About the family: 5.8S ribosomal RNA (5.8S rRNA) is a component of the large subunit of the eukaryotic ribosome. It is transcribed by RNA polymerase I as part of the 45S precursor that also contains 18S and 28S rRNA. Functionally, it is thought that 5.8S rRNA may be involved in ribosome translocation.
Source: RNAcentral